CAGCUCUCCGAGUGGUGUGGAUGUUUAUUGGGCCUAAAGCAUCCGUAGCUGGCUGAGUUAGUCCCCUGUUAAAUCCACCGAAUCAAUCGUUGGAUUGCGGGGGAUACUGCUCGGCUAGGGGACGGGAGAGGCAGACGGUAUUUCCGGGGUAAGGGUGAAAUCUUAUAAUCCCGGGAAGACCACCAGUGGCGAAGGCUGUCUGCUAGAACGCGCCCGACGGUGAGGGAUGAAAGCUGGGGUAGCGAACCGGAUUAGAUACCCGCGUAGUCC
Molecule: ribosomal RNA, 270 nt
Filed under: uncultured archaeon
Lineage: Archaea
Description: partial 16S ribosomal RNA
Rfam family: Archaeal small subunit ribosomal RNA
Source: RNAcentral